This is a long non-coding RNA of Triticum dicoccoides, 1806 nucleotides long. RefSeq lists it as uncharacterized. NCBI's taxonomy places the organism in Eukaryota, Viridiplantae, Streptophyta, Magnoliopsida, Poales, Poaceae. The record is from RefSeq and is a predicted model, not a curated record. The transcript has 2 exons.
AGCCCCGCGCUUGUGCGAGAGGUUUUUGCCCAAUCCACACCUCACGCGCCGCAUUGACCUGCUUGCCCAAUCCCCGCGGCGGUUGGCUGGUUGACUCAUCGCGCCAGCACGUCCUCGCCUCCUUAGUGCCAUGAGAGGCGCCGCCUCUGCCUCUGGAAGAAGCGGCAGGGAUUGGUGGAGCAUCGAAAGUGGCCGGGGUCAACGGUUGAGGGAGGAUCACCCACCAGAGCAGUAGGAGAAAGACCUUGAGUGAAGCUGCAUCAUCCAACAUAGCGAGAUGAAGUACUCAGAAAAAAUUGCAGCAAGUGCGAUUGAUACUCAGGGAAUUGAUCUGAUUCUGAAUCUUCCCUUCUUCCGGUACUUAUUUCACACUCUCUCUGAUUGGUCAAUGUGCUAUGCAAAGCUGUUUGAUAUAUGGAUUAAAUUUGCUUUUGUACAUGUCUGGAUCGUACUUAAUGUUAUUCCCUUUUGAAUUAGCAAGAUUUAGACGAUAAUUCACAACAAUGUCAAUGUUAGGUUUGAUUCACCACCAGUGCUCUUUAGAUUACAAAGGGUUUUUAAUUCAGCAUUCAACUCCGCCUUUGUCAGUAUAAAAAAUUCAUAAAGAGACUUGGUCUCUUCUUUAUUAUCUGGGUGCAUUAUGUACUAUGCAUGGCACUAACUGUGAGUAUUUUUGCCAGUCAGUAUGCAUUGGUCUACUUUGGAUCUUUUUUGUCUCACUUUAUACUUGUUCUGCUAUUUGUCGUGUAUGCACAUGAUUUGGAUUGAUCUACUUAGAAGCAUGAGUUUAUGAAAAUUAAUAUCUACUAGGAUUGCUCUGCUCCUGUUGACAUGCGAUGGCAAUUGUGACAUGACAGAGUUGUCUGAAGUGGAAUGGAUUGUCGUCACCUUUGACUAAGCUGUCGAGCCCAAGAACUGUGGCAGACUGGUGGCCCAGCUGUUCAACUUCUCAACACCGUUUAAUUUUGUCUUUGGCUGUCCUUGCGUCCACUCAGCAGAGAAGUAUCUAUACUGAAUUUCUGCUCUAGAUAACUUAUACUCAUAUAAUUUAUCUCUAAUACCCAGUCCAAAACAUUAGUUUCAAAAUGUAACUCUUUGCGGCCCUAAUUCGACAGUACUUUGAGUGCUUCCUAUAGGAACAGGAGUGAGCAAAGACGAAGUCACCUGAGAUGGGAAAAACAGAAGUAUAUGUUAAUAACCAGAUUUUCAACUUUUGUUGACCUUUUAUUUUAAGUAUAUGUUAAUAACCAGAUUUUCAACUUUUGUUGACCUUUUAUUUUAACUGAAUGAUAUGUUCUAGCAUUUGAGCUACUAAUCAUAAAUAUUCAGUCAGCUAUCCGUAAGACGCCACAUGUUCUUAGCUGCUAUAUUUUAUACCUGAAAUUAUUUUCUAAGUCCACAUAACGAAGGCAAAAGUCAUGAAAAUUAUGAAAGCCUUUUUGAAAAAAUGAAAAUCACAGAAAGGAUCUUGGAAAAAAGAAUUACUUGUGAACAAUCAUUUUGACUGAUGAGUUGAUCUCUGCCUAAUGAAUCCACUGAGAUAUUGGAGAGCUUUUCUGCUUCAUGAGAAAGAGCCACAGAUGGCCGACUAAUACCCAUUAUAGCAGGAUUUUGCAUAUGAUGUGCAUACACAAGGUGCCGCUGGGUGAUACGGCAGUUCUCUGAACAUAGAAUACUAGAUUAAAGCACUCACAGUAUUUCUUCAGGCACUCAGAUCUCUUGCAGUGGCACCCCUUUGUAUGCUUACCCACAGGAGGGCCUUCUGCCAGUUUGCAUGAUAAAAAUAGAAGUGAUUGUUUGAAAAUA